GAGGCACCGGUCGCCCCUCUGUCGCUGCCCGUAAGGCCCGCCUUGGCCGUGGGCUCCGGAGGCCGGUACCU
Non-coding RNA from Dipodomys ordii (Ord's kangaroo rat), 71 nucleotides. Lineage: Eukaryota; Metazoa; Chordata; Mammalia; Rodentia; Heteromyidae. The record is from Rfam.